Non-coding RNA from Pelobates cultripes (western spadefoot toad), 86 nucleotides. NCBI's taxonomy places the organism in Eukaryota, Metazoa, Chordata, Amphibia, Anura, Pelobatidae. The record is from the annotation of a GenBank genome assembly.
CGGACGUUCCGAUAUAAUUUUGUUUAAUAUUUCGUCUUGUUUUAGAACAAGACGAAAUAUUAAACAAAAUUAUACCGGAACGUCCG